CAUCACCAUCCAUCCAAGGCUCAUCCCCAAACCCAGUUACCCGCUCCCCCGGCCGAGCCUCAACACCAGAUCCACGUUCCCGGCCAGCCGGCCAAGCCUCAGCAUCAGAUCCACUUCCCCGGCCAGCCGGCCGAGCCUCAGCACCAGAUCAUCGUUCCCGGCCACCCGGCCAAGCCUCAGCACCAGAUUCAGUUUCCCGGCCACCCGUCCGAGCCUCAGCAACGGAUUCAGUUUCCCGGCCACCCGUCCGAGCCUCAGCCCCGGACCCACUUUCCUGCCCAUCUGUCCAAGCCCCAUCCCCAGCCCCACUUAUCCGGCCCCCAGCCCAAGCCCCACUUUCCCGGCCACCCGUCCAAGCCCCAUCCCCAUCCUCAUUUAUCCAGCCACAAAGAUUUGGCUUAAAGGAAGAUUUGGCUACAACUUGUGGAUAUCCUUGGAGUUCCAACUGAUUGGCCUUGAUUACUUCAAGCUUGUACCCUGACAGUCUUUGGAGAAAUAAAAUGCAUUUUAUACUAAUUUAG
RNAcentral lists this long non-coding RNA (521 nucleotides) under Cottoperca gobio. Its description in RNAcentral is "lncRNA (ENSCGOG00000024684.1)". The record is from RNAcentral. Lineage: Eukaryota; Metazoa; Chordata; Actinopteri; Perciformes; Bovichtidae.